CCCUGUGUGGCUCAGUUGGUAGGGCAUGGUGUUUGCAACGCCAGGGUUGUGGGUUCGAUUCCUACGGGGG
Molecule: transfer RNA, 70 nt
Filed under: Salmo salar (Atlantic salmon)
Lineage: Eukaryota; Metazoa; Chordata; Actinopteri; Salmoniformes; Salmonidae
Rfam family: tRNA
About the family: Transfer RNA (tRNA) molecules are approximately 80 nucleotides in length. Their secondary structure includes four short double-helical elements and three loops (D, anti-codon, and T loops). Further hydrogen bonds mediate the characteristic L-shaped molecular structure. tRNAs have two regions of fundamental functional importance: the anti-codon, which is responsible for specific mRNA codon recognition, and the 3' end, to which the tRNAs corresponding amino acid is attached (by aminoacyl-tRNA synthetases). tRNAs cope with the degeneracy of the genetic code in two manners: having more than one tRNA (with a specific anti-codon) for a particular amino acid; and 'wobble' base-pairing, i.e. permitting non-standard base-pairing at the 3rd anti-codon position.
Source: Rfam by way of RNAcentral